UGAGUAACCUGCCCUUAACUCUGGGAUAAGCCUGGGAAACUGGGUCUAAUACCGGAUAUGACUCCUCAUCGCAUGGUGGGGGGUGGAAAGCUUUUUGUGGUUUUGGAUGGACUCGCGGCCUAUCAGCUUGUUGGUGAGGUAAUGGCUCACCAAGGCGACGACGGGUAGCCGGCCUAAGAGGGUGACCGGCCACACUGGGACUGAGACACGGCCCAGACUCCUACGGGAGCAG
This 232-nucleotide ribosomal RNA is filed under the name uncultured bacterium. Its description in RNAcentral is "partial 16S ribosomal RNA". It matches the Rfam family "Bacterial small subunit ribosomal RNA", at positions 118 to 347 of the family's 1533-position model. The record is from RNAcentral.